This 479-nucleotide ribosomal RNA is filed under the name uncultured bacterium. RNAcentral's name for it is "bacterial SSU rRNA". It matches the Rfam family "Bacterial small subunit ribosomal RNA", at positions 34 to 507 of the family's 1533-position model. The record is from RNAcentral.
CGCUGGCGGCAUGCCUUACACAUGCAAGUCGAACGGCAGCGACGGGAGCAAUCCUGGUGGCGAGUGGCGAACGGGUGAGUAAUAUAUCGGAACGUGCCCAGUCGUGGGGGAUAACGUAGCGAAAGCUACGCUAAUACCGCAUACGAUCUACGGAUGAAAGCGGGGGAUCGCAAGACCUCGCGCGAUUGGAGCGGCCGAUAUCAGAUUAGGUAGUUGGUGAGGUAAAGGCUCACCAAGCCGACGAUCUGUAGCUGGUCUGAGAGGACGACCAGCCACACUGGGACUGAGACACGGCCCAGACUCCUACGGGAGGCAGCAGUGGGGAAUUUUGGACAAUGGGCGCAAGCCUGAUCCAGCAAUGCCGCGUGCAGGAUGAAGGCCUUCGGGUUGUAAACUGCUUUUGUACGGAACGAAACGGUGAGCUCUAAUACAGUUUGCUAAUGACGGUACCGUAAGAAUAAGCACCGGCUAACUACGUG